Molecule: long non-coding RNA, 1681 nt
Filed under: Homo sapiens (human)
Lineage: Eukaryota; Metazoa; Chordata; Mammalia; Primates; Hominidae
Description: HSALNT0297838
Source: RNAcentral
AAUCCAUUAUGGACUCAUUCUCCUUACCAAACUCUACAAAUAAUCUUCUGUCUUAAGAGCACCCAGGAUGUGUUUUCAUUGGAAUUAGCUAGCCCUGGGAAAGACAGUCCCUCCAGAGUUAGCAACACCCCAAGAUGUCAAAGAUAAAAAUGCAAAAAUUAAAACUCCAUGAUUAACACAACUUUGAAGUCCUUCUCACUUGUCUUUAGAUGAAGGGCAACAUCAUUGCAACAAGUCACACUUUGAGAACUCAAGAGAAUAUGUUUGUUCUGAAAAUCCAGGAAUUAUUGCCAACCCAUGGUUGUCUCCAUAUGUCUUGGGAAAAAUAGGAAAAGGAUUUUUUGAGUUGGUGAUUUGAAUCCAAGACACAAAGAUUCAGGCUCUGGUAAAAAGAUUGUAUAGGCUAUAUUGGCUGACAUAAAAGGUAAGAGCAAGAAUGCAGAGGAUUUCUAUCAACAUAAAGAAGAGUCAAAGAGACAUAAAAGGCACACAAUGAAAUCUUAAUAAAUGUAUUGGAUGUUGCAGCAUUAACUGAUGAGCCAGACAAUGUAAAGACCUCAGACUACCAAAUGUUUUGAAAGACGAAUAGUGAAUGUGAAACUGUGAACCAAAAUAGAUUUUUAGAAUCCUUGAAAAAAUAGAGCUAGAGAAAGUCUUUGAGACCAUUGAUUGCAAAUAUUUGAGUUUACAACUGAGCAAAUGGAGAAAAGAGAAGUGACUCGUCAGUCCAACAAGUGGCAGAAUCAGAACCAGACCCCAAUGCUUGGGUCUUCUGUCCCUCCUGGCACCAAAGUCACCUAUCAUAAGUAACUUGAGUUUCAGAGGGGAAGGAAAAGACUACAAUGUCCCAGCACUGUUCCAGACACUUUUUAGGGGACUCCAAGACACCUUGUGUAAUGCCUAUUUUAAGUAGCUGGAAGAUUCUAUAGCAUGGGAAAAGCCCACUGAAGGCAAAAGUAAACAUUACCUAUUGUGGUCCUGGAAAAGAAAAUCAUCUCUCAUUUAUCUCCUGGAGCUGUUUGACGAACUUGGUGCUGUCUCAGUGGAAUAGUCAACCAAUGUAUCCUACAUUUUGGACCAGCAGAAGGAAGUAAUGAGAACAGAAAACAAAUAAGAAGUGAGUUGGAGGGAGAAGGAGACUUUAGCAUCUUCCUGAAAUCAGGAAGAAAGUUUCAAGAAUAAAGUAAUCCAUAGGGUCAAAUACUGCAGUAAGUUUAAUUAGGAUGAAGACUGCAAAGAUGGUAUUAGUUUGGUACUUAGGACAUUGGUGACCUCCACAGGUGACUUUCAGGAGAAUUAUCUGGGGAACUUGUUGAUAGAAUUUGUGAAUCUCCACCUUUAGGGAUUCUGAUUUAGAAGGAGUAGGAAGAAGGCCUUAGGAUCUCCAUUUAUAACAACCACUACUGAUUAUUUUGAGGCAGGUAGCAUACAGACCACAUUUGAAAGAAACACUAGGUAAGUGUGAUUUUCAUUCAAAGGACAAAAAACAUAAAGUUACCUAAUUCAGGGACCAUUUCAAAGACCAAAUCAAAUCAGUAGCCUGGCUGAUCUGAUCGACUGCGCAGAAACUAGCCAUUACCAUGGCAAAGUGGGGAGGAACAGUCAAUAAAAAGCAAUUGAUGGCCAGGCGCGGUGGCUCACGCCUGUAAUCCCAGCACUUUGGGAGGCCAAGGCGGGCGGA